Molecule: non-coding RNA, 2627 nt
Organism: Oncorhynchus mykiss (rainbow trout)
Lineage: Eukaryota; Metazoa; Chordata; Actinopteri; Salmoniformes; Salmonidae
Source: RefSeq, a predicted model, not a curated record
GAGCGGCGCGUUGGAGCGGGUGAAUGGAUGACGUCGGGAGACUGGCGCCAGGCUGUCUGGGACGGGCGCGUUAGAUCAACACAGCUGGGGUGGAAUAGGACACACAGCUGGGCGAGGGUACAUUCCUCCACAAAACACGAUUGUGAGAAAAAGGAAAAUAAGACCAAAUAGGAACAGAGGGGACACGGUUUGACAAAAAAAAAAUGCAGGAGUUAAAAAGAAAGAGAAGAAUAUGCAACUUAUUUUGAGUUAGGGUUCAUCCCGAAUUGUAUUCACAAUAACAUAACCGAAUGUUGUUCUCCUCUGUCAUGGUUAACUGCAGAUUUCAUAUUUGUUUGGAUUUCGUUUUUUUUUUUAUCUUUAUUUUAUUUGACAUUAAAAAGAAAAAAUAAGAUGAAUUGAUAGUGGUAUAGACAAAGUCCAGCUAGGCAUAUACAACAGAGUUUCUUAUUUCUUAUGAUAAUAAUAUGAUUAGCUAAUAAUAACAAGUUCAAAACUGUUAUUCACAAUGAAGGGAGUUUGCACUUUCAAGAACUCAUGUAUGGCAUUCAACUGUUUGGAUAACUUAUCUAGGCUUCUUGAAUCUAUUGCUAAUGAAAAUGACUGUUGUAUCCCUAUCCUCCUAGCCUACAUCUUUUGGGUGAAGAAAUGUGAAAACCAUUACUUUUUAUAAGGCUUAUAAUUACAGGAUUUUCAAGCUUAUCUUCUCUGUCUGUCUGCCUGCCUGCCGCUUGACAAGUCUUAAAAUCAUGUGAUGCCAAAAGAGGUAGAAAAAUGAUUCCUGACGCCAGAAUGUCUGCAACGUCAUGAGAGGAACACGUUGGCGUGAAACCCGUAACGGUAACGUGUGGCUUCAAUUUGAUAAAGGAAGAAGAUCCAGAGAGUCUAUGUCAGUGAGCAAAACAGACAUAUUUACGUCUAUUAACCAAGUUGAAUGUUUCUUGUUGGAUAGUUUAUGUAUUCAGUGCUCACCAAAAUUAUGUUUUCUUGAUUGUAGCCUAAUAUCUGAAAUGAGGUGGGUAAUUGCCCAUAGGAUUGACUAGCAUCAUUGCUUGAAUUUCUCAUUCCAUCUGCCCCCACCCCUACCUCGCCCCGGUAGGUGACGUUUGAACAGCCAAUCAUAAACCCCGAGCUUCUCAGAACAACCAGGAAGUCUCUACAGUGGCUAAUCAGAGCACGAGGGUGUAUUUAUUUGUGAGAAUGGGCGGCGACUGACUAACAAGGGUGUAUAAAGCCAUCCUCACACCCACACCGAAGUACUGUAGCUGGUUGUUGCCUUAGCGUCUCACUUUAUUUCACAUUGAUUAACUAAUUGUAGGCUACUUUAAAAACAUGAAAGCCAUCAGUCCUAUGAGAUCUGUCAGAAGCUGCUACGAAGCUGUCCGCUGCAUUUCGGAUCAGAGUCUCUCCAUCACCCGGAAUAAGCCAUCUAUGGAGGAAUCCGUGGGCGCGCUGUGCGAUAUGAAUGACUGCUACUCCAAACUGAAGGAGCUGGUACCGAGCAUCCCACAGAACAAGUCCGUCAGCCAAGUGGAAAUUCUGCAACACGUUAUCGACUACAUAUUCGACCUACAAAUCGCGUUGGAAGACGAGUCUUCAGCGACAACCACGCCUGAUUUGGUGCUGUCACUAAAGAAUGCAGACCUUGCACGCAAUUUCUCCCAAGAAGAUGGACGGUUGUGCCGUUAAAGAGGAGGAAUAGGCCUAUAACGUCCAUAAAUGGUGCAGAGAAACACAUCUCCAAUUCACUCUGGGCAAGAGGGCCAGAAAGAAGGUCUGGGAUAGGUAUUUAGAGUGGGAGAGAAGAGGACUCUUUAGUUCUCAGAUCUGGGUAAGAGGGCCAGAAAGAAGGUCUGGGACAGGUAUUUAGAGUGGGAGAGAAGAGGACUCUUUAGUUCUCAGAUCUGGGCAAGAGGACAAGAGGGCAAGAAAGAAGGUCUGGGACAGGUAUUUAGAGUGGGAGAGAAGAGGACUCUUUAGUUCUCAGAUGGAUGGAUGGAUCACCCUCUUGUUUUCUGUUCUCUUGUCAGCAGAAGUGACAUAAACAACACACACCAAAGCAGAAAAAUAUUUGAAUUGACUCUGUUUCUGUCCCUCUCCCUGUCUCUCUCUCUCUCUACUUGUUCCUCUCAGUUGUGGUUUUGUAUCCCUCUGAAUGUAUCGAUACAUCAAGCUUUGUUGAUUUAUCUUUUUGUGUUACAUUCCAAACCAAACCUUUUGGAUUGACCUUCCAAUAUUUUGUUACAACCCCCCCCCCAAUCCUUCCUCCCUUCCCUCCUCUCCUAGCCAGUCCUAAAACUCUAUCACUUAAUUCUCUCUUCAUAUCCUCUGUUAUCUUAUAAUUUGAAGGUUUUCAGAACUUGGUCAAAUUGUGUAAAGAUCUAAUUUGGUCACUGUGAACUCUGAAAGAGAUGGGUUAAAUGAGUUUGGUCUUGUGCGGGGGUCCUUGGAUAUAAUCACAACUCUGUAAUAGAGUUGAUUGUAAAUGUUUGUAGGGAUUGUUUAUUUCUACGGACAAUGUCAAAUAAUUGCUGAGUUUUAUAAACUUUUUUUUCUUUUUUAAAAAUCAAAGUCUGGGUUGUAUGUACGUUCUUAUGUAAUAAAAUGAAGAAAUGUCGUGAACGUUC